UGCUCUCGAGGUUCUUGGCGAGGACCUCUGGGCGCGCCUCACGCCUGAGCUCAUCCAAGAGAUCAGUAGCUACUUGCAUCCUAAUGAAGUUCUUAGCAGCGUCAAACUGCUCAACCGGGAGAUCGCGGAAUGCCUCCGCGACAGCUUUCGCACUUUCGUUCUGGGCCGCAAACAAGGGGACCGAGUAUGGAACCCUGAAAAGCUACAUCACGCGGAGCAGCCCUGGCCCGGCCGGGACUUUGUGGCGCACUGGGGCGGGCCCAGCCCCUGGCGCAGCCUCAGCCUGGCCCAACGCCACCGGCUGCUGUGCCUAGCGGCCUCGUCGGGCCACCUGCCCAGCCUGGACGCGGCGCUGGCGCACUGCGGCUGCACUCUGACCUCAGGGGCUCUCGCUUCAGCAGCGGCCGGCGGCAGCGUGGCGGCGUGCGAGCGGCUGCUGGGCGCGGGCGCUCCGGCGAGUUGCGAGGCCUAUGGACAGGCAUGUGUGGCAGCAGCGGCGGGUGGCCACAUGUCCGUGCUGCGGCUGCUGCUCGACCGCACAAGGCUAUCAAAAGCAGAGUCAUCGUACACUGCAAGCUGCGCUGCGGCAGCACGGGCGGGCCAGUUGCCGGCGCUGCAGCUGCUGCUGGAUUCGCCAGCAAGCGGCGCUGUCUGCGCACGGGUCAUCAGGAAUGCCGGUACCGGCGCCUGCGAGGGCGGGCAGCAGGACAUCCUCGUCUGGCUGCAGCAGGCGCACGGCUACAUUCCCAGCCUGGUAGACGCCGUAGCGGCGGCGCGGGGGGGUCAGGUGGCGUUGUUAGAGCAGCUUCUGUCGCCGCUGGUUCUACAGCCGGACCGCUUGGAAUCUGAGUUGGCAUCUGGCGGAAAUGCCGCAAAGCAGCCCCUAUACCGGAGGUGGAUAGUGCUUGAAGCUAUCACCGCCGGCUGCCCUGUGGAGGUCCUGCAGCGGCACCACGACCGGCUGUGGUCGGUGGCCGCGAACGCGAACGAGGCGCGGAGUGAAGAUGCAGCAGCAGCAGAGGCAGCAGCAUCCAGUAACAAAAUUCGGCGGCAACUUCUGCUGGCUACUGCGGGCAGCGGCACGGCCUGCUGGGGCCGUAAGCUGGACUUUUUCAUGUCGGCUUGGGGCCCAGACGGGGUGGCGCGCGAGCUGCAGCAGAGGUUCGACCUCACAGCUUUCUGCAAUGCUGCAGCGUUGCGACCAGACUACGCGCAGCGGCUGCGGCGCCUGCACGCAGCGGGCAUGCCCCUGGGAGUGCAGGCGCUGAGGUAUGCAGCUAGGUUCGGGCACAUCGACGCGCUCAAAUAUCUCUUAGACGAGGCCGGCGCACCCGCAGCAGCCAUUGACACGGCGUUUGUGCGGUCCUAUGUAUCUGAGCGCGGGCCUCAGCUUGCGGACUCGCAACUGCUAAGGUUGCUGAAGGAGCGUGGCUACGCUUUCACAGCAGCAGACGUGAAGGCGGCAGCGCGCUGGGGCUGGCCGGAUGAGCCGCUGAUUGCGCUGAUUCAGAUGGCGGUGGACGGUGGCGCAGAAGACGCCAAUGGUAGCGACUGGUCAGCAGCAUUCAAUUAUGCAGCCAUCGGCGGAGCCAGCACUUGCGUUCUGCAGGUGCGCUGGUGCUGAUGCAACCCGUGUGUUGUCUGGUGUGUUGUCAUGGAGUGCUGGUUCAAGGGCUUCCAAUAAUCGUGGCUGACUUUCAUGCCACGAUAAUGAGGCAAUGUGACUGAGUCUCUCAUUGCCGCAGGCGCUGCGGGUGCGCGGCGCGGCUGUGGACCUGGCGGCGGUGGCGAAGGGCGGCAGCGAGGAGGCACUGGACUGGGCGGCGGCGGAGCUGGAGGCGGAGGGGCAGGGAGGCAGCUCUGAUGGUGGUGCGCUGCUGGUGAGUGUGAGUGGUCGCGAAGAUAUCGUGCAAGCAUACCUUGAAGGGGAGAAACCACGGAGCUGGGUGUAAGCCUAUGAAACUGCCCUCGGGAUAUCCGGUAGCUUUUAUCGUCUUACACUGUGCAGACACUUUCAUUCCGUGAACUCAGCUACCGUCAGUUUACACGGCGGCGUCACAUGCAUCUCUAUAGCCUCAACAAUCCCUUUGACGUGCGCCGCGUGUAUGCUUCUUACUGAUACAGACGCCACUGCGGGAGUCUGAGGUCCAGUGUGUACAUGAGCGCGGCAACCUCGCCGCACUGCACUGGCUGCACCGGCGCGGACUGCUGGACGGCCGCAGUGUGAGCCGGCUGGCUGGCCGCGUGGAGCUGGGGGCGGCGCCUGCAGCAGCCGGAGGCGCCGAGCGCUGAGCAGGGCUGCAGGAUGGGGGCAGAAAAUUGUCAGUGGAUGGGGUAGGGCAAGUACUGGCGGCGGAGACUGUGGGGGCUCUUGGGCCAUCGGCGUUCUGAGUAAUUUGGCCAAGCGUUUGCUGAGAGCAGACUCCAUGGCUGCUUAAGGUCGCUGGCGGUUUGGUUGGGUUCUCCGUCCCAGCCUUGGUCGUGGCAUGUAUGUUGGCCAUUGCAGACGGCAUCACGCACGUAGGCGGACAGGGUGCAUGCGAGGAGAGGGAAUGCUUGAGGUUGGGGCACUGUGUGAGGACUGAGGGCCGUGCUGCUGCUGCGUUUGCUGCUUGCGAGGUAGGGCACAGUAGUGGCACGGUGGCCUGCUGGCGGGCGACGCGGCGCCGUGUGGGGGGUAGCUACUUGGCACAAAUGCAAAGGCAUGGACCUGCAUGCCUCAUGUGCACAGCUAGCGUGCGUGCGUGCGGUAUCGCCAGAUGCUGCAGCGUUCGUGGUGUUCUGGUAUGUUGGUGGUAGAGGCACGCACGUCGCUGCUGGGGGCUGGAGGUUGUUGCGGGAGGCGGUGGCGUGCUGAGGGGCGCAUGCCGCCAUGCGGUGCGGGCGGCAGGAGGCGCUGUGUAGCAGCACAGCGGCUGUGAGCUGGGAGGUUCGAGCUGGUGGGAGCUGCGCGGUUGGGUCCAUGCCGGGGCGCUAGGUUGGACUGGCUGAAGCUGCUCGCGGUGCCGCCGUCGCUGUCGCCGCGCUCAACGGGGCCGCCCCAUGCACGCCGCAGUGGCACACGGGUGCUCAUAGACUGCUAUUGGGAUGUCGGGACCCCUGGCAUGGGGGUGGCCUAGCUGACAUCCGCUCCCAAACUUUACUUGCGCCUGGCUUGACAUGCGCUUUUGCAUACAUAACACGAAUGGCGCAAGUCGAUGACCAUGCUAUCGAGGUUCUUGGCGAAGACCUUUGGGCGCGCCUCACGCCUGAGCUCAUCCAAGAGAUCACUAGGUACUUGCAUCCUAAUGAAGUAAUUAGCAGCGUCAAACUGCUCAACCGGGAGACCACGGCAUGCCUCCGCGACAGCUUUCGCACUUUCGUUCUGGGCUGCAAACAAGGGGACCGAGUAUGGAACCCUGAAAAGUCACAUCACGCGGAGCAGCCCUGGCCAGGCCGGGACUUUGUGGCGCACUGGGGCGGGCCCGGCCCCUGACGCAGCCUC
Molecule: long non-coding RNA, 3484 nt
Filed under: Chlamydomonas reinhardtii
Lineage: Eukaryota; Viridiplantae; Chlorophyta; Chlorophyceae; Chlamydomonadales; Chlamydomonadaceae
Description: long non-coding RNA (CREI_LNC000903)
Source: RNAcentral